RNAcentral lists this ribosomal RNA (253 nucleotides) under uncultured bacterium. Its description in RNAcentral is "partial 16S ribosomal RNA". It matches the Rfam family "Bacterial small subunit ribosomal RNA", at positions 524 to 776 of the family's 1533-position model. The record is from RNAcentral.
UACGUAGGGUGCAAGCGUUGUCCGGAAUUAUUGGGCGUAAAGAGCUCGUAGGCGGUCUGUCGCGUCUGCUGUGAAAACCUGGGGCUUAACUCUGGGCGUGCAGUGGGUACGGGCAGACUAGAGUGCGGUAGGGGAGAUUGGAAUUCCUGGUGUAGCGGUGAAAUGCGCAGAUAUCAGGAGGAACACCGGUGGCGAAGGCGGGUCUCUGGGCCGAUACUGACGCUGAGGAGCGAAAGCGUGGGGAGCGAACAGG